CCUACGGGAGGCAGCAGUGGGGAAUAUUGCACAAUGGGCGCAAGCCUGAUGCAGCCAUGCCGCGUGUGUGAAGAAGGCUUUCGGGUUGUAAAGCACUUUCAGCGGGGAGGAAGGCGGUGAGGUUAAUAACCUCAUCGAUUGACGUUACCCGCAGAAGAAGCACCGGCUAACUCCGUGCCAGCAGCCGCGGUAAUACGGAGGGUGCAAGCGUUAACCGGAAUUACUGGGCGUAAAGCGCACGCAGGCGGUCUGUCAAGUCGGAUGUGAAAUCCCCGGGCUCAACCUGGGAACUGCAUUCGAAACUGGCAGGCUAGAGUCUUGUAGAGGGGGGUAGAAUUCCAGGUGUAGCGGUGAAAUGCGUAGAGAUCUGGAGGAAUACCGGUGGCGAAGGCGGCCCCCUGGACAAAGACUGACGCUCAGGUGCGAAAGCGUGGGGAGCAAACAGGAUUAGAUACCCCGGUAGUC
RNAcentral lists this ribosomal RNA (465 nucleotides) under uncultured Klebsiella sp. RNAcentral's name for it is "bacterial SSU rRNA". It matches the Rfam family "Bacterial small subunit ribosomal RNA", at positions 338 to 795 of the family's 1533-position model. The record is from RNAcentral. Lineage: Bacteria; Pseudomonadati; Pseudomonadota; Gammaproteobacteria; Enterobacterales; Enterobacteriaceae.